RNAcentral lists this non-coding RNA (148 nucleotides) under Nomascus leucogenys (northern white-cheeked gibbon). Lineage: Eukaryota; Metazoa; Chordata; Mammalia; Primates; Hylobatidae. The record is from Rfam by way of RNAcentral.
GCUGGGCAUGGUGGCCCAUGCCUGUAAUCCCAGCUACUCGGGAGGCUGAGGUAGGAGAAUCGCUUGAACCCAGGAGGUAGAGGUUGCAGUGAGCCGAAAUCAUGCCACUGCACUCCAGCCUGGGUGACGGAGCAAGACUCUGUCUCAA